CGGCAGCGAGCGCCAUCGGCACGGUUGUAUCGCCGCUGUAGGCGCCGAUAUCGAUGACGAAGUCGCCGGGCGCAACAAAACGGCGAACCGCAUCGACCGCGGAUUGAGUGAUCGGAUUUGGCGUAUCAAAGGGGUGCAGCCAUUGCGCGCACUCGAUUAACCCUUCGCGCUCGAGGCGAAAUUGUCGCACGUCGUGCCCAUACUCUGCGAAGGGGAUUUUCUUUCGUCGUCGAAAUAGGCGGGCGAUCGACAUCGCUGUGGACUGAGCCGGGUUGCGAACAUGAACUGCGGAGCUUGCAUGCGAAAGAAGUUGC
RNAcentral lists this unclassified non-coding RNA (314 nucleotides) under uncultured bacterium. RNAcentral describes it as "contains 16S-23S intergenic spacer region". The record is from RNAcentral.